GAAAUGCGAUACUUGGUGUGAAUUGCAGAAUCCCGUGAACCAUCGAGUCUUUGAACGCAAGUUGCGCCCCAAGCCUUCUGGCCGAGGGCACGUCUGCCUGGGUGUCACAAAUCGUCGUCCCCCCAUCCUCUCGAGGAUAUGGGACGGAAGCUGGUCUCCCGUGUGUUACCGCACGCGGUUGGCCAAAAUCCGAGCUAAGGGCGCCAGGAGCGUCUCGACAUGCGGUGGUGAAUUCAAGCCUCGUAAUAUCGUCGGUCGUUCCGGUCCAGAAGCUCUCGAUGACCCAAAGUCCUCAACGCGACCCCAGGUCAGGCGGGAUCACCCGCUGAGUUUAAGC
Molecule: unclassified non-coding RNA, 337 nt
Filed under: plant metagenome
Description: partial contains 5.8S ribosomal RNA, internal transcribed spacer 2, and large subunit ribosomal RNA
Rfam family: 5.8S ribosomal RNA (bases 1-107)
Source: RNAcentral